This 253-nucleotide ribosomal RNA is filed under the name uncultured bacterium. RNAcentral describes it as "partial 16S ribosomal RNA". It matches the Rfam family "Bacterial small subunit ribosomal RNA", at positions 524 to 776 of the family's 1533-position model. The record is from RNAcentral.
UACGUAGGGGGCAAGCGUUGUUCGGAAUUACUGGGCGUAAAGCGCGCGUAGGCGGUUUGAAAAGUCAGAUGUGAAAGCCCCGGGCUCAACUUGGGAACUGCAUUUGAUACUGUCAGACUAGAGUACAGAAGAGGUGACUGGAAUUCCCAGUGUAGCGGUGAAAUGCGUAGAUAUUGGGAGGAACACCAGUGGCGAAGGCGGCUCACUGGACCGGUUCUGACGCUGAGGCGCGAAAGCGUGGGGAGCAAACGGG